UUUUAUUUUGAUAUUAUUUUUUAUUGUUGAAAAAAUUAAUAAUAAUUUAUUGUUAAUAAAAAUUAAAAUUUAUAAUAUUUUUAUUUUUAUUUUUUAGUUUUAAAUAAAAAAAAUAAAAUUUAUAUAUAUAAAAAUUUUGUUAUAAAUUAUAAUAGUUUAUUUAUUUGUUUUUUAUAAUAAAUAAUAGUAUUUUUUUUAUUAUUUUAUAAAAAAAAAUAAUUUAAUUAUAAUUAUUAAAAGUAAUUUUGUUAUUUAGAAUAAUAUAUUAAUAUAAAUAACAAAAAUAUUAAAUAUUUUUUAAAUUUUUUGGGGAUUUAAGUUAUAAUUUUUUGUGUCUGCUCAGUGAAUUUAAAUAGCACUUUUAGCGUGUG
RNAcentral lists this ribosomal RNA (371 nucleotides) under Meloidogyne hapla. RNAcentral describes it as "partial 16S ribosomal RNA". The record is from RNAcentral. Lineage: Eukaryota; Metazoa; Nematoda; Chromadorea; Rhabditida; Meloidogynidae.